Long non-coding RNA from Vicia villosa (hairy vetch), 658 nucleotides. RefSeq lists it as uncharacterized. The transcript has 4 exons. The record is from RefSeq and is a predicted model, not a curated record. NCBI's taxonomy places the organism in Eukaryota, Viridiplantae, Streptophyta, Magnoliopsida, Fabales, Fabaceae.
GUAUUGUCAUUUUCCAGCUUGCAACUUGCUUGUGGAAGCGAUGUAAAUCUGAAAUCGUAGAAUCCACCGUCAACUCUCUGUUCAAUCGCCGCCACCGUAAACUCUGUUCAACCGCCGCCACCAUCAACUCUCUGUUCAAUCGCCGCCACACAACUCGACUCUUUCUUUCUAAGAAAUGCUGUGGAGCUUGGACCUUUUGGACCUUUGGCUGUUACUCUCAUGAAAAUGCCUCGUUUGAGUUUUUGUCGUGUUGAUGAAUUAGCUUUUGCAGUUAAUAAGCAUGAUCUUGGGAAUUACAGGCCUUUAAUAACUCUCUAUAAGGAUUGGAGUCAAAGUAACUUUGGUACUUCAGUGAAAUAGAUGAAACUUUGUUGCAACCCGUCAUUGAGGCUCUGCAACCUAUAGCUGAUGUCACUGUUGAAAGCCAAGUUUUGUACCUUACACCAAAGGCUUCGUUUUUUUGAUUGGGAUGAUGAACAUGGAAGCCACAUAUUCACCACUCAAGAUCUUCCUUUCUUUGUAUGCUCUAUGGUUCUGUGCUAUCAUUUAUAAUUUUUAAAUAGUAAAUACAGUUAUUUUGAAUAGAAUUGCCAUGUAUUUAGUUCUAUCUUAUUUUGUGACUUUGCAAACUUAUAUCAAUUGGAGGGAUGAUACAAUU